RNAcentral lists this ribosomal RNA (582 nucleotides) under uncultured bacterium. RNAcentral's name for it is "partial 16S ribosomal RNA". It matches the Rfam family "Bacterial small subunit ribosomal RNA", at positions 355 to 935 of the family's 1533-position model. The record is from RNAcentral.
UGGGGAAUUUUGGACAAUGGGCGCAAGCCUGAUCCAGCCAUGCCGCGUGCGGGAAGAAGGCCUUCGGGUUGUAAACCGCUUUGUCAGGGAAGAAAUCUUCUGAGUUAAUACCUCGGGAGGAUGACGGUACCUGAAGAAUAAGCACCGGCUAACUACGUGCCAGCAGCCGUGGUAAUACGUAGGGUGCAAGCGUUAAUCGGAAUUACUGGGCGUAAAGCGUGCGCAGGCGGUUUUGUAAGACAGAGGUGAAAUCCCCGGGCUCAACCUGGGAACUGCCUUUGUGACUGCAAGGCUUGAGUGCGGCAGAGGGGGAUGGAAUUCCGCGUGUAGCAGUGAAAUGCGUAGAUAUGCGGAGGAACACCGAUGGCGAAGGCAAUCCCCUGGGCCUGCACUGACGCUCAUGCACGAAAGCGUGGGGAGCAAACAGGAUUAGAUACCCCUGGUAGUCCACGCCCUAAACGAUGUCAACUGGUUGUUGGGAAGGUUCCUUCUCAGUAACGUAGCUAACGCGUGAAGUUGACCGCCUGGGGAGUACGGCCGCAAGGUUAAAACUCAAAUGAAUUGACGGGGUCAUAGCUGUUU